UCACUUGUAGCUUAGUGGUCAGAGCAUUGGUGCGUAAAGCCAAAGGUCCGGGUUCCAUUCCCGGCGAGUGUG
Molecule: non-coding RNA, 72 nt
Organism: Agrilus planipennis (emerald ash borer)
Lineage: Eukaryota; Metazoa; Arthropoda; Insecta; Coleoptera; Buprestidae
Source: Rfam